Molecule: long non-coding RNA, 1580 nt
Organism: Triticum dicoccoides
Lineage: Eukaryota; Viridiplantae; Streptophyta; Magnoliopsida; Poales; Poaceae
Exons: 4
Source: RefSeq, a predicted model, not a curated record
UUCUGCCGCCAAAGGGAAAGGUAGCAGGUCCAUUACUUCAGCCGACCUGCUAGCGAUGGCGGAUCUUACGGAUAAUUUUGAUUGAUGAGAAUGUGCGGAGGUGGAAGCUGUGCCACCAAACCAGUUGAUUAUAAUCGUAUUCCGCACUAUAAAUAAGAUGAAUGCAAUCUGCUCUCACAAUGGAACAGGACAAAGAAUCUCUUUAUGCUUUCAUCAGUUGUGCAACCAAAUAAGUUGAUUAUAAUCGUCAUCUGCACUAUAAAUAAAAUGAAUGCAAUCAUCUCUCACAAUUGAAUAGGAAAAAGAAUCUCUUCCAGUCAUCUACGAGGUAAGCAUGCUAGCCUUGGUUUAGUCUGCAGAUACUUCUUUCUUAGGCUGCAUGUCAGAUAUAAAGUCCUUUUGAUGUGUAUGUAGUGCAGUUUUUAUUCGUUAAGAACCUAAUUAAUACCAGUCCACACAUGUAAACUGCACUUAAUUUCUUCGUAUUUCUACUUUCAUUAUUUACCUCGAAUUUACUUUGGUAAUAAUAUGUUUUUCAUUUGGGUUGGAAGGCACCUUGCAAAAAGUAAAAUUAAUUAGGGAGGGCAGAGAUUUGAAAUUACACCAUCCCAAAUUAAUUUCUAUUGAGUUGUCUAAAUGCAAAACCAAAAAAAAAAGUUGAUCCGUAUGGACUAAGGAGAUAUGUAGCUAGGAUAUUUGAAAUUCUGUCCUAAAGCUCAACGUAUAUGUAUGUGGUAAUAUAAUUAGUAGUAUAUAUUAUGGUCGAUCGAAUUGUUUUAAAUACACUACUCUAUUUAUUUUGAUAGCCUGUCUCAGGUCACACGUGCAUUUUUCUAUAUAUAAUACUACAAGAGUGUCGUACAUAUGGAAGCAGAGGGUAUUCAUGACAGCAGGAUACACGCCAGAUAUCACGAUAUGGUUAGCGAAUCCAGCGUACUAACGAUAUCAGCAUACACGUGGAUGCCUGUCAACCUAGCGGAUCCAGCAUACUCUCUAGAGCAGCACACAUUCGGAUGAGUGGCAAAUUGAAGUCUGAACAAUACAAAUUAACCAUGGCACGCGGCAGCCUCAGCCAUCACGUACACAAGUUAUGCAUCAACAGAGAAGUCGUAAUCAUCCAGACGCUUGGUAGGUGUGGCUUUCCAACAAAUGCAGACACAUGCAUGGAAGGGUAUACAAAAUCAAGAGGCCAUGCAUGCACAAUGGACACUGAGUGGGUCCGGAUAUGAGAUAUUGCUUCCAACUGCCUAGCAUAAAGUCUCUAAUGAGCCCAAGUGAAAUUUUCAAUGUCGCCCCGUCAAAUCUGAUGAAUGCACAUAGGCGCCCUGAGUUAUGAUAAGGUUACAACAAGAAUGCAUGGUGAUAACGAUCUGGCGGGUCGGCGGCAAGGAAAAAUUUAAUAUAUCUAUUUAUCUUCGAGAUUACUAUACAUGCAUCAUUUAUUACCCAAGCGGUUGAUAGGAAAAAGGCAUGUCCACGCCAAGCAAUGAAAAAAUUACACAAACCAAGGUACAUAAGAAUGAGGUUUACCAUGAAGAGGGGGAAUGCCGGCAGCUGGAAUUCUGGCUGGAAAAGGAGCA